AGCAGUGUGGCGUAGUGGUAAGGAGCAGAGCUUUUAACCCAAAGGUUGCUGGUUCGAUUCCCCAUUGGGG
Molecule: transfer RNA, 70 nt
Filed under: Megalops atlanticus (tarpon)
Lineage: Eukaryota; Metazoa; Chordata; Actinopteri; Elopiformes; Megalopidae
Description: tRNA-OTHER
Source: RNAcentral